Long non-coding RNA from Mus musculus (house mouse), 2682 nucleotides. RefSeq annotates it as predicted gene, 33647. The record is from RefSeq and is a predicted model, not a curated record. The transcript has 3 exons. Lineage: Eukaryota; Metazoa; Chordata; Mammalia; Rodentia; Muridae.
GAGGGUAGGAGGCUGGUGAGUUUGAGGCCACUCAGGCUACAUAACAAGACUCUGCCUCAAAACAAAACUGCUUGCAACAAAUAAACAUCAAAAGGUCUUCUGAAUACUCUGUGUUGCUGCUAAACAAAAGUAGUUAGUUUGCCAAUAGUAAUGUAUAUUUUAGAAGACCGUGAAGAGCAAUAUAAGAAUUCUUAGUGUCCAUGCCUCGCCAGACUCUGACAUGCACUGAUGGUUCACACUUCUUAGGCCAACUCAUGACUCUUGUCUUCAGUAGCUCUUCCAUUCCUAAGAUUCCACAGUUAGUUACUUCCUGUCUUGACAGCUCUCUUUUCUUAUCCAUACAGACUUUUUCCAAACGUCAUUCUGUACAACUCCAACCAGCUCUAGACUCCUGUGCACCUUUCAAACCUCUUCACCUGGCUCACCUCUACUCUGUUCUUAACCUUGAGCUCCUCGGGCCUUCCUUUGGGUUGGAAGUGACAUCCAGUGUGAGCUGUUCUCUGACUUGAAUCAUAUGAAGUCACCUAGAAGAUAGGGCCUCAUCUCAGAAGUGAAAUACACUCAACUCUGCCUAUUCUAUGGGAGAUAAUAUGUCGAGGGACUGACUAUGCAGGAAGGAGAAUUGAGAACUUUCCCAAUUUCAUUUCAACACUGAAAGGAGAUACUGAACAACAGUGGGACCCUAAAAUUCACCCCAGUGUGGUGGCUUUCCAUUAGAACGAUGCUAAGCUGUUCACCUGCACCUCAGGGGAUAUUAUUCUCCAUCAAAUUAUGUUCUUAGGAUUGCAUGAACCUUUCCAUGUCUGUGGCCCUCUCCCUCUAAUGGAUAUUGGAGCAUAAGCAAGAUUGUAAAUCUGUCUAGAGGGCUGAAUUCCAUCUCAUAGGGACCUCAAUUGUUUCCAUUUCCUGUAUGCAUGACACAGCAUGCAGUGAUUGUAAACCAUCCAAUCCUUGUCAGGACUUUCUGUACUUGGUAUAUGCCGUGAUGGACACAGCAACGAUAAUGAAAUGCAAGUAAUCCCGGACUGUCAAGAUGCUUGUGAUGGAACUUUCUGUACACAGCCGAUGCCUGGCCUAAAGGGGAGGGGGAAGUCUAGCGUUCAGAAGAACAGUCCCUGCAUCCUGAUGCUUGGAAGGAAGGAACUCAGAUACCGAGAUAAUGUGAUUAGGAGGCUAUGGUUUGUGCGCUGUGGAGUGAUUGGGGUGCCCCCACUCUUCCCAAGGCUGGUCUCUUCUGUUCUCAGAGGUAAGAGCCAACACCUUUUUGUGCUGUGCAGGAAGACUAGAUUGGCUGUAAAUUUCUAUGUAUCUGGCUUAUUUGGUGUCCUCUAAGCCCCUGGGUAAUUGAUGCUGGCAGAGAAUGGGCAAAGCAUGCCCAUCAAGUUCCUAGUCCGUCUCAUACGACUCCAUGUCUUGCACUUGGUGUCUCUCACACAAUGUCAGCCACUUACAAAACAUUAUCUCCCUUAAUCCCCACAAUCUCCCUGCUUCGUAGGUUACUAGGUUUGCAUUUGCAGAUGACAAGACAAAUCUGUGUAAGAUUACAUCUUGCCAAGGCUUCGGGGUAGAGGAAUCAGGACUUGAAUUGAAUUCAUCCUCAGUGCAUUGUGCCUUAUUUCACUGUAUUCAAAGAGCCAGAGGACGAGACGACUACUUGGUUUAAUUUUACAAUUACUUUGGAAUUUAGUACAAACUUUCUGUAACACUGGAUUUUUAGCCACCUUUGUCUUUACAAAGCUUCUCCUGAUCUCAAAUAUAUAUAUAUAUAGUUUCAGGGGUUCGGGUUCAUCAUUCUCAUGUAAUAUUCUUUUCCCCAUUCUUCUUUCCUUUUUGUAGUACUGGAAUCAAAGUCAGAUGUAAACAUUACUGCUAAGACCUAAGACAUGCUCCCAUCCCAUCUCUUCUUUUAAAUUUGCUUUUCUGACAUGGUAGAGUUUUUACAGUUAUAAUUUUAGUAACAACACAAUAGAUAUGCUUGUUAAAUGUUCAAUCAUUAAAAAAAUUCUUAAAUGCGUCAAGGAGGUUCAAAUAGCAAAAAAAUGUACCCUAUUUUUGAAAAUUAGCAUAUAGUCAAAGAAAAAAGGAAAGGGAAAAGAAAAAUGAUUUUUCAAAAUAAGAGAAUUCCCUUAAAAAGCAACACUCCCAUUAGAAGAUCUCAAAGUUAAGAGUACAUGAAGAUCUGCAGUCCUUGGUAGCAAAAUCAUGGCCACUACAGUGACUGUGUCAAACAAUGAUAGCCAUCUGUUCUAGGCAUUGCUCGGUUUCAGAAUCCCACAGGAGUAAAGAAUGUGGUACUUUAUAGACUCCAGUCGAUAGGGAUAUUUCUGAAGGGGCUUUCUCUCAUCCACUGGCAUGCGUCGGUCCAAAUGCUGCUAGAAUCAUGGUGUUCUCACAAGUCAGGAUACUGUGCUGUCAUCUAUUCUAGUCCAUCCUGCUCCCUCUAGUUGAGGCCACACCCAAGCUAGGCAGACAGAUGAGACUCUAUUUUUAACAAGAUGCAGAGCCUGGGAGUGUCCCUCAUUUGUUCAGCAACCCCAUUUCAGAAACUAGCCACACAUCCAAUUUAAUUUUGACACUAUGAAUGGAGAACCUCUGCACACCUCUUAAAACUUUGUAUCUAUUACUGUCAUCUUUUAUGAAUUUAAACUUAACAAAAUAAUAAAUAGAGAUUAAAGAAACAAA